Quercus robur (English oak) is the source of this 470-nucleotide long non-coding RNA. RefSeq lists it as uncharacterized. Lineage: Eukaryota; Viridiplantae; Streptophyta; Magnoliopsida; Fagales; Fagaceae. The transcript has 3 exons. The record is from RefSeq and is a predicted model, not a curated record.
GGAGAUAAUUCCACUCUGCAGGGAGCUUGGCAUUGGAAUAGUUCAGUUCAAUCCUCUUUAUCCUGGAUUUUUUUAUUUUUUCGCUGGCAAGGGAGUUGUGGAAAUUUUGGCUGCAAAUAGCUUAUUGCGACAACUAAGAUCAACAACCUAGAGAACAAUAUUGACUCUUUGAAGGUGAAACUUACAGAAGAAGACCUCAAGGAGGUAUCUGAUGCUGUAACAAUAGAAGAGGUGGUAGCUGGUGGUAUAAGCUUUCAAAACAUGGAUCAUUUUCACUGGAAGUUUGCCAAUACUCCUCCAAAAAAUUAAUUCUCUAUUUACACAUGAAUGAUGUCUAUUUCAUAUAGACAAUGUUUUGGUGAAAUGAAUGGCCAGAUUUAUGUUAAAUAACUGGCUAAUCAUUCACACUGCAAAAUUAGCAACAUUAUUAUGUAAACCUUUUUGAGAUUAGCACCAAUGUGGUUUCUCUA